GUGCUCGCUUUGGCAGUGCAUGUACUAAAAUUGGAACAGUACAGAGAUUAGCAUGGCCCCUGAGCAAGGAUGACACGCAAAUUUGUGAAGCAUUCCAUAUUUUU
Molecule: small nuclear RNA, 104 nt
Organism: Pongo abelii (Sumatran orangutan)
Lineage: Eukaryota; Metazoa; Chordata; Mammalia; Primates; Hominidae
Source: Ensembl